AUGCUUAGUUCAUUUUAAUUCCAUCUCGGUUACAUUUCCCAUUCUCUCUUCUCAUUCAUUCAUUUAUCCUUUCCUUUUACUAGUUACUGACUACCUAGAGGAGAUCCAGGAAAGAUAAAGAAGAUGUAGAGAAAAUAACUCAGGGAGCUCCUAGAGUGAGAGGAAAAAAGCUAUGCGAACCAAUAAAAUGUAAUGGGUGCGAGGAGGUAUUCAUAAGGAAAUGUGAAAUCCCAGAAAGUCCCUAAAUCUGUGAGUUGGAUUCCAGCUUAAUGCAUCUUCAUAUUUUUCUGAAUCACUCUCUGUACACAAAUUUGCCUCAUUUUAUCCUGCACACAAGAUUUACUGAAGCGUGUUCAAUGACAUCAUUUGUUGCAUAUGUGGAAGUAUUUGCAGCUGGUUUAAAACUUUUAACAAGCAAACUCUACCUGAAAUUGGAACAUACAUAACUUCCAAUUUACCUCAUCUGUGUCAUACAUGUAGAAAUUGUUUCUGAAUUAAUUACAUCCUCUUACUUAACAUGAAGGAAAAACAGAAAAGAUGUUCAUGAUUCUUGUCUAGUUUUUAUCCAUUCUUCAGGUAAAAUUUGACUUUAUAACCUUUACAAUAGGAACGGAAUUUAGCUUCGACUUCCACACUCCAGCUUUCAGUUUAGAUAAUCACGUGUCCUCCUUUAUGAGCUUUGCUGAGAUGCUAUUGAAAGUGGAUUUACAUUCUGUUGCCUUCAUCUCAGAAGCAAUGUAUUAGCUCCCUAUUACGUUUUACAUUUAUUUCUGAAUUGAUUGAACAGUGACAUUUGACCAAUAUUUAUGUUUUAGAAUUGAUUUAAAUGAGAAUUAGAAUUGUUAGAAAUAAUCUGAAUGCUGAAUAUUGCCUACUCCAAGUAUGAGGCUAAAGAUUUAUGAGACAUACUGGUUUCAGUUUGUUUAUUUUGAUGUAUUUAAUUUUCAAUCACGCCUGCAGUUUGCAGAAGUUCUAGGACCAGGGAGAGAUCCUGUACCACAGUAGUGACCUGAGCUACAGCAGUGACAAUGCCAGAUUUUUAACCCACUGAGCCACCAGGGACUCCUAUUUGUUUUUUUCUUUUCUUCUUUUUUCUUUGUUGGCAUAUGGGGUUCCUGGCCAGGGAUCCGAUCUGAACUCAUUGCCCCACAACAGGAACUCCAAGGCUCUGAUUUAUUUUUAAAUCUAAUUGUUUUAUCACCUGAUAGAGAAAUAUAAAGCUAGUGAACGAAUUCAAUUUUCCAUUUAAUUCUUGUCACGUCGUACUAGUUAAUUAAGAACAUUUGGGCCUAAACAAAUUUCACAAUAGUCAUUAAAAAAAGGUGAGCCCUUACAUUUUGUACACAAGAACAAUUUAAUUGAUUUUUCUUUUACUUUUAAUUAAUUUGUUGUGGCAUUAGGUAUAUAUAUUAUUAUUAUGAAUUUGUAUGUAAAAUUGAUUAAAAUUUAUUUUCAUAAAAUAUCUAUAAUGAUUUUAUAAAGUAUUAAUUUAUGUUUUGGUAGUGUAAUGUAAACAUUUCAAAAUAAAGUAAAACACUCUAACUAGCACACAUGUAUACAUGUAAUCUAAUGACAGGAUAGUGUAGAAAACCAAUCUUUGCGAUAGUCCAUGUAUUUUUUCUGAAAUGAUGAGUUCACAUGAAAAUAUUUCAAUACGUCUUUGACAAAAAGAAAUUUAGUUUUUUUGUCUUCACCAAAUAUGCUGUGCAUUUUGGAACUCAAAUGCAGUCAUUAUAAAGAAGAAAAAAUAAAUGAGAAGAGUUACUGUCAGAAAAUUACCUAAGUUUUGUGUUUUAUAAACACAAACUGUAGUAGUCUUUCUUAUGGACUACUACAAACAGAAUCCAAGUUGAGAAUAUUGCUUGGAGGUAUCAGUUUCUUAAAAACAUAAUAACCAAUAAAGACUAAUAUUUUUGGUUCUAAGUACUUCACCCACCCUCCCUCUUAAAUUUGUUCCUCGGAAUUUUUCUAAAUUAAUACAACUUUUCAAAAACGCCUCCCUGCAUCAAAUCUUUGUGUAAAAAGUUGGGAUUAUCCUGAGGAUCAUGCUAACUAUUAAAACUGAAGGACAAAGCAGAAAAUGUACACCUAAAGUAUUUUGAUAUGUCUCAGUGUCUCUGCACUUGACAUUACCUUGGCUUAGAACACUCUUGAUCAAGCAUUGAUUUCAUUCCAGUCUUUCAAGAUCUGAUAUUCACCUUAUCUCAAUUGCCUUCCUCCAUUUAACCUUUGUCUCCUCAAGGCAUUAAUAUCCUCUGUGGAAGUUUUCUCAAUUUGUUACUUUUUUCCUCUCUGUAUUGGUUUGAUUGUUUAUUGGCCAUUCUUAUGCCAGAAGCUUCAUGUAAGUCUCAACUUUGUAGUUUUUAUCAGUAUAAUCCCAGUACCUUACAUAGUGCCUGGCACAGAGUAGAAGUUCAAAUAAAUACAUGUUGAAUAAAUAAAUGAGUGAAAUCAAAUUUAACCAUACAUUUUUUGCCAAAAUCUCUACUGGUGCAAAAUUGCCUAAAGUUACAUAUUUUUGUGUUUGUGAAAAUCAUAUAUUCUAGGUCCUUACAAAUCCUGUGAAACUAUUGUUUAUUAUUUCUAAUACAAAAAUUGUGGCAUUCUGUCAAUAUUUAUGCAAUAGCAACAUGAGGGCACAGAGUGGGAACUGCUCAAAGAGAUGAUAAUUCUUUUCACUUUGCCAUCAUUUACAUUUUGUCAACUUUAGAAAAGGAGAAAAUGGUGAGAAAAAUCUGUAAAGAGUUUACACACAAAAGAAUAUUUCAACGAAGGAAAAUAUGUCAGCUCACUAUACCAUAUUUUGUUCUUUCAAAAUAUUACAAAAUUGACAUGGGACAUAAUGAUGUUUGAUGUUCGAAGAAAAAUACAAUAUGUUUAGGAAACUGUAUAUGUGAUAUGGAUGCAUCGCUGUGAGAAAUACAUAAGGAACCGCUAACAUUUCAAAGGCACAGCUUUUCAAAAUGGUAUAUAUAUGUUUCUAAAAUUGCUGGUGUGCUAUAAUUAAUUUUUAUUCACUUAUCUUUUAUAGACAAUUUUCAUAGCUUAUCAUGAAUCCCUAGAGUGCUAUGAUUAAGUCAAUAUGUGUACUUGAGUAGCAUGUAAAUGUAUUAAGUAUUUAAGUAUAACAUUCUUGAUACAGCCUAAGGUAUUUCACACGAAUAUAUCCAACAUUUUGCUUUUUGAAGGGUGAUAAAUGUACUUUUAUGCUUCAUCACACAUACUGUAAAUAUCCUUUAUACUUGCAUUAAAUUCCCGCCUUGCUUCACAUCAUCUGUUUAAUUUUUUAAUAUAUGCUGCAUAAUAAAUGCAUGAUGUUGAAUUCAAACUUUGUAAGAGUUUGACCCAUGAUAAGUCAAUCCCAUAUCUUUCUCUGUGCUUCACUGAUCUGGCCAGAAUAUGGACUUUUUUUAUACAUGAACGGGACGUGAGUGAAACCAUGAAAUCAGAUGAGAACCUGGGAAAUACCAGAGAAAUAUUGUUCAAUGGCAUUAUUACUGUGAAUGAUUUUUUCCAAUUUUCUUUC
RNAcentral lists this long non-coding RNA (3526 nucleotides) under Sus scrofa (pig). Its description in RNAcentral is "lncRNA (ENSSSCG00000054077.1)". The record is from RNAcentral. Lineage: Eukaryota; Metazoa; Chordata; Mammalia; Artiodactyla; Suidae.